Molecule: ribosomal RNA, 497 nt
Filed under: uncultured bacterium
Lineage: Bacteria
Description: partial 16S ribosomal RNA
Rfam family: Bacterial small subunit ribosomal RNA
Source: RNAcentral
GAUGAACGCUGGCGGCGUGCCUAAUACAUGCAAGUCGAGCGAACAGACGAGGAGCUUGCUCCCCUGACGUUAGCGGCGGACGGGUGAGUAACACGUGGAUAACAUACCUAUAAGACUGGGAUAACUACGGGAAACCGGAGCUAAUACCGGAUAAUAUAUUGAACCGGAUGGUUCAAUAGUGAAAGACGGUUUUGCUGUCACUUAUAGAUGGAUCAGCGCCGCAUUAGCUAGUUGGUAAGGUCACGGCUUACCAAGGCUACGAUGCGUAGCCGACCUGAGAGCGAGGACCGACAGACGGGCAGUGAGAAUGGUUAGAGACUCCGAGGGGGGGACGCGGCAGAGAAUCUUACGGAAGGCACGAGUGCCGAAUAGUGGAAAGCCGGCUGAGUGAUGAAGGUCUAAGGAUCGUAAAGCGAUGUUAGUAUGGAAGAACAAAAGCGUAUUUAACUAUGCUCGUCUUGACAGUACCGGGUCAAAAAGCCACGGCUAACUACGUG